CCCGGCCUCGCAGGGGAGGGGGCGGCCGCCAUAUGGCAGAGGCGAGGGGGAGGGAGGGGAAUGUGAGCGUUAUGAGCUGCGCGGGGGAAAAAAAAAAAAAAGAAAGAAAGAAAUCUAUAAGAAAAAAAAAGAAAAAAUAGUUCCAUGUAAACUCCGAGUGCUCCCCAUGUCAUGAAUGAGCCUUUCCUCCUCGCACCCUCCGGGACGGCGGGGCGGGCCCGGUGGCCGCGGGCACCGUGUUGAGGCUGCGGCCGGGUGGUUUGAGCUGGAAACGAAUUGGCGGCUUCCUCGUGUCCUUUAUAGGCGGCGGACAGGGGGUUCGGGACGGAGCGGGCGGACGGUGCGAGGCACGGGAGCAGGAGGCACUGACACGCGGGGGGCGAGACGGAGCCCUCGUGGGUGUGAGUGAGAGCAACAACGAGAGAGCCCGUCCCGUCUGAGGCCGCUUUGAUCCCCGCCGGGUAUCGCAGAGCCGCUAUCUGAGGGCGAUAAGCGGGAGCCGCUCCUCCCGCGGGCACCGAGCGCGGCGAUGCGGCGGCCGCGGGCAGAGGGCAGUGCUGCCCCGAGCACGGCGCGCCCUGGCCUCCCCGGGGACGGAGGGCGUCGGAGCUGAGCCCCGGGGCUUCGCCCGCCUCUUGCUCUCCGUCUGACACUUCUUUAUCUCUUUUUUCCCGUUUAACAUUAAACAAAAUUUGGUCCUCUAUUUCCAGCGACAGGAUGCGGCGGGUUUUCUCCGUCCUAUCCUAAGGCUCAACCUCCGAAGCGAAGAUGCCCCGAAUGUAGCGAGAGCAAAACCGAGGCCUCCAUCCCCGACGUGUGCGCGGGGGCUGGGAAUGAGCUCCCCGGGGUAGCUCAAGCGGUGCCGGCCUCGGGCACGCUCCGCUCCGGGGCUUCCCCGGUUUGGGGAGCUCACGUCCCCGCUAUUGCUUCCACAUGUUUCUGCAGGAAACCAUCGGAGUCGGAUCUGCGAGCGGCUUCUGCUCGGAAUGCUAACAGGACACCGGAAUGCUUGUGAAUAAACAACGAUGAGACUGAAUCAAAAGCAUAGGGGGAAAAUAAGGAGAAAAACAAACCAAUACACCCGGAGAUUCUCUGCCUGGGGGCGAACACACGCAGCAGCCCGACCCUGGAAUUUGAGGAGUAAAAAUCCCAUCUGUGGAGCCGAGGGCUUCGAGCACCGCGAGGAUGCGGCCGUGGGCAGCGCCUGGGAGCUCCACGGAGACCCCGCGGCCGUGCGGGUGGGGCGAUCCCCGAUUGGAGCAUCGCAGGGAUCGAAUGCGAUGCGAAGGGCGCUGCUGGGAAAGGAGAGAGCAAAAGGAAGGGGAGAAGGCGCCUUCUGGUUGCAAUUACCUGCCUCAUUUGAAUAAUACCUUUGUCGUGAUCUUUAUCGAGCAUUCGUUAACGGCUUCCAUGUGGGAUCUCACAAGAGCGAGAAAAGAAAAAGAAAAAAAAAAAAAAAAAAAGGAAUUUGGGUCUGGCAAAGCGGCCCGUGGGGCCGGGCCAGCCGUACCCCUUCCCCCGACGGGGCUCCCCGACAUCCACCACGGCAGCAAAAAGGGGCGAGGGCCCUGACCGCGGGAGGCACCCUCCGCCUUCCGCCUCGGUCCCGUCCGUCUGGCGGCGGUGCCUACGGGUUGGUCUCAGGCAGGAGGGCUAUGGCAUUAUUUAACACAGACCCCCUGGGACGGCUCCCGAGCUCUUCCUCCCGCCCCGUGAGGCGCAGGGGGGUCCCGUCCAGGAGGCGCGGGGUUACCGAGAGGACAGGCUGGGGGCGGGGGGAUUCUCAGCACGGCAGCUCCUUCUGCUCUCCCCUCCUCCCCCGACGUGUUGCCGCAUCAGGCAUCCCGGAGCGUGUGUUUAUGUGGCAACAGAUGGGAGCUGCACGCUCCGAACAGCACCGCGACGCCCGCUCUGAGGCCGCUGCCUCUGUCUGCGUCCUCAACCCGCACCCAGGGGCUCGCUCCGGCCUCGCAGCGCCGAUGGGCCCCGACGGGGCGGCCGGCUCCAGCUCCGCCAGCUUUCCGAACAAAACAUUCACCAAAGCGAGAACCGCAGUGCUGCGUAGGGCAGCUCCAACCUGGCGCAGAGAGCCGUCAAACCUCCAGAGAGGGAGAAAGCCGAGCGGCCUCUCCUCGCUUGUCACUACCAAUCCGUGCUCACGUCUAUCAUGGAGGGAAGAGAACGCAGCCUCCAGGGCCGCCUGGGACAAACGGGAGCAAGAGUGUGCCGGGCCCACCGGGGAUGUUCGGUCCACGGGAGCUUAUGGGGAGGUUAUUUUUCCUCUCUUUCCACGGCUCUCCCAUUCUGUUUGUUCGAACAUCAUCUGGAUCUGCUAUGCAGAGAUCCGGUAUCUCCAGGCGGACAGGAGCCAGAAAAAAAAGGAGCUAAAGGCAGCUCCCCGGCCCCAACCUCCCCUCCCCACCUUUGUUUUGAUUCACCCCAUGGUGUUUAAGGUAGUUCCCUGCGCCCACCGUGCUCCCACUAAGGCCACUGCUGCCGCGACAUCGAGUUGUUUUGCUUUCAGUGUUACAUUUGGCUCUUGACAUUAGAAGUUGCCAAAACAGCCGGGAAGGUUUUAUUCGUUGUGGUUGGGGGGGGAGAGGGGAGGAAGAGAGAGAGAGAAAAAAAAAAGAAGAAACAGGCUUUGUUUUUCCUUCUGCUCUCACCCUGGCGUUCAGGAUGGGGCAGAAUAAACAGGCUGCUCUAUUCCCAGCCCGGCUCAGUGCGAGGCAAUGCGGCCGAGAGGCGCAGCAGGACACUAGGGGGCACCGCAGCCCGCGAGAGGAGCGGCCCGGCCCGGCCGGGAGAGCGGGCACCGGCGGAGCAACCUCGGGCAGCCUUAGGGAGGGGGCAGCGCUGGGUGCGCGCCUAUGCCUCGCAGCUGGGGGUGAUUAUCUCCUCUCUUAAACAGCACCCGCUUAGGCGGGGUUUAGCGUGUUCGUGUUUGGUACGUGCUUGGUUUUGCUGGUCUUAGUUACGCGAUCAGCUGCAUCCCUGCGGGUCCGGCUCCGCGCAGCCCCCAAGCUGCCUGAAUGCGGCGAGCAAAGUCACGAGAGCACUCUCGGCCCCGCCACAAAUAGGAUGUUUCCCUCCGAAAUCAAAGGACCCUCUCUGCUGAUUCAGCCCAGGUUUGGUUUCGAUCCAUAGGUUCCCAGACCGUUAUUUUUGCCUUUGUUCUUUGGAGCUGUAGCAAUUAAAGGUUUGCAGUAGGACGCAGGCACGGUCGAGCCAGGCUGCUCUGUUUCUGUGUCUGGUUCCUAUUGGUGUGGGCUUUACGCUUCUGGGCUGCUGUGCUCGGGACCUUCAAGUGUGUCCAGAGGAGCUGCCCGGGGCACUGCUGUUCUUACACUGGGCACAGCCAGCCUGGGUUGGGCCCUUGGACGUGCCGGGACUGCUCGUGUCUCCCACGUGUCUCUUGCAUAGGCAAGGAAGGACCGAGGCAACUGAGCACCGUUAUGUGCCUGGCUCUGGAGGGCACCAUUCCACGGUAACUCUCCCUUUGCUACACAUCUCUUUGGAACAAUCUGCUGUAGAAUAACUGAAGCUAAAGCCACGGUUUCUGAGUAGCAAGUGAGUUUCAGAAAGGAUCUUUCUCUUACACGGACGUUUUCUGCUCUCAAAUAUUAUGGCAAACAAAGCCUUGUCUUUCCUUUUAUGUGACAUGGAGAAAUUCUGAGUAUGAAUGUCACCCCUCCUGUGGAUGAAGAGGAGGGAAAUCCCUCAGUGCCUCCUAAGAGCCUGCUAAACUGGGGUUCCUAAGCUGCAAGUUUCACCUAGUGCUCUUCAAAUAUAGUUCAGCCAUUUGGAAUCGGAAUAAUAAACAUCUGUGCUGAAACACGCAGCAAAAGCUCCAGACUGAGAAAUGAAUUGAGCUGCUCCUUUGCUGCAGCAUUGAGGCUGUGCUGGAGGUGCGUCAGCAGGAGCUGCCAUUCUCGCAGUGCUGCGCUUUUCCUGCUCUCAGACGUGACACUGAGGAUUCUUAUAACCCUGAUCUGAGACAAAGGAAAUCAAGAAUUUCUAUCAAGAGCAGUUCCAAUAGGUGCUCAGAGGCUUCCUUUAGGUAGGAGGGACUGACGCUCUGAAAAGUAGAGGAAAAUCCUUUCUCCCUCUUUACUGUCACUUCGAUAAAUGAGUAAUGAGGCUUUUCCUUUUGUCCGAGGUCAACAGGUUUUAGCCUGUCCCUCAUCUCAUUCUCCGGGGAGUACUUGCCGCUCCAGUUACGUGUUUAUUUGCCUGUCCAUUGUCGAGAGUCCUUUAGGGCGCUUAGUUGUUUGCACUUCACUUGAGUGGAGCAGUUGCAGAGGGAGAAAUGAGAAAGUGAGAUGAGGAAAUGGCAGGGACAGCCCCGCUCCCCCCAGCCACAGAAGGGAAGCGAUAGCUAAGGGGAGACUCGAGAAUAAGGCAAUGGGAGCGUCUAGGUAGGCUUUGACACUCAAACUGGUGGCUGUUCUGGUCGUAUAUCUCUGUUUUUAGUCUCAAAUAUCUUUUGGAAACAAACAAGAAGUGUCUAAUGGGGAAACUGGGACAGAUUCUGCAUUGUGUAAAUCUGGUGUAACUCCAACUUCAAGGGAAAUAUUCCAGAUUGAAUCUGGUAUAAUUAAGAUUAAAAAUUGGCUCUGGAAAUCUUUUCUUUGGCAAUAAAGUUAGAGAAGUACUGUGAAAAAAAAUAAUUCAAACCAGAACAUUGUUUCAGUGCUCUUUUAAAUAACAUUCGCUAUAGGCUCUUUGAAGGCAUUUGCUCUCCAUGACAGCAGUACUUUAAAACUUUCACUUUGGUUCCACAAUCUGGGUUAACCCUUGAAAACCAAGAGUGGCUAAAAUAGCUAAAAUGCCUUAUGUGCACCGACAUCAUUUUGCAGGACUUUCUCCAAAUUAAUUAAAAGAAAUCAGUGGAAGUGCUACAAUUGCUGCCACGGCAAACCUCUCUGCAAGGAUAAAGCUACACAUAUCACUAUCAUACCCAAAGCAAUUCGGGCAUUGCGAUCGUUCUAAAUUUAUACUUACUUGUCAACGGGGUUUGUUUUUGUUUUUCUUUCAUGGUGAAGACUUUAUCUGAAUGUUAAACUCCCCACUGAGGAGGAGCGACUUCCAGAAGGCAGUUGUUGAGUAUUUCUGGGAAGCAAACUCUGAAUGGAGUCCCUAAAGGAAUGCUGAAAAACUGAAGACCCAUAAGUUACUGAGCAUUUUUCUAGCAUCAUAAACCAGAUGGCAAGAUGUCCUUUAGCAGUCAUUGCAUCCAAUGCUACCUCAUUUAUUAGGCCUGUGUCCCCAGACAAAAUGACUUCACUGUCAUUUUAUUGCAGUUCCUGAGAAGGUGCUGCUGUUUUGUGUAGCUGGAUGAGUGUCCCAGGUCUGUCAUUAAUUCCAAUCAAAGUUUUGAUUCUUUUUUUUUUUUUUAGUGGACCUGGAUAUUCAACAUAGAUUAUUAAGAACAUUCUUUAAGGUGUGGAAGAAAAGAGGGAAAAAAUGCAUCAGCUGAGCCUGUCUUGGGUUCCUUAUGGCAUACACGGUGUGGUGUUUUUUUGCUUUUUAAGUCAGAUGGAGAAGUAGGAGUCAUUAAAUCUUAUUUAUUUCAAAAGCACAGGAACAUGGAGGCUUGUCCACUGUGUUCUGGCCAGAGAACUUCUCUGUGAAUACUUGAGCUGGGACACUGGGAUGACGUUGGUUCCAUGGUGGCAACUAUGUUGAAAGAUAGUGUUUUGUAGCUGAGAAUUUGCUCUGUCAAAUAGUGUUAUUGUGCUCUUUGUGUUUGUUGUAGUUUCCACUGAAAUAAAUAGGAGGUGUUACUUUUGAAAUGACAUACAUGCAAUUUAUAAAUCAGAGCAACGUUCUUUUCUGGUUCUCCUUGUCAGCCAAGGGCACUGCAGAAAAAGAGUAGGGUAGGAAUGGGUCACUUCAGCCCUAUUUUCUAUUUUUACAGUCAAAGGGAAUAGAAACGUGUUCUCCUCAGUGUCAAGAGAAUUCAGAAUUUCCAUUUCUUCUCUUUUUGUGACGAGAGAAAACAUUUGUGGUGCCAAAGUAAAUCCAAAUAAAUUCUUGCAAUUCCUAUCCAUCACCAAA
Coturnix japonica (Japanese quail) is the source of this 6060-nucleotide non-coding RNA. NCBI's taxonomy places the organism in Eukaryota, Metazoa, Chordata, Aves, Galliformes, Phasianidae. The record is from RefSeq and is a predicted model, not a curated record.